RNAcentral lists this ribosomal RNA (475 nucleotides) under Pediococcus pentosaceus. RNAcentral's name for it is "bacterial SSU rRNA". It matches the Rfam family "Bacterial small subunit ribosomal RNA", at positions 922 to 1398 of the family's 1533-position model. The record is from RNAcentral. Lineage: Bacteria; Bacillati; Bacillota; Bacilli; Lactobacillales; Lactobacillaceae.
CGCACAAGCGGUGGAGCAUGUGGUUUAAUUCGAAGCUACGCGAAGAACCUUACCAGGUCUUGACAUCUUCUGACAGUCUAAGAGAUUAGAGGUUCCCUUCGGGGACAGAAUGACAGGUGGUGCAUGGUUGUCGUCAGCUCGUGUCGUGAGAUGUUGGGUUAAGUCCCGCAACGAGCGCAACCCUUAUUACUAGUUGCCAGCAUUAAGUUGGGCACUCUAGUGAGACUGCCGGUGACAAACCGGAGGAAGGUGGGGACGACGUCAAAUCAUCAUGCCCCUUAUGACCUGGGCUACACACGUGCUACAAUGGAUGGUACAACGAGUCGCGAAACCGCGAGGUUAAGCUAAUCUCUUAAAACCAUUCUCAGUUCGGACUGUAGGCUGCAACUCGCCUACACGAAGUCGGAAUCGCUAGUAAUCGCGGAUCAGCAUGCCGCGGUGAAUACGUUCCCGGGCCUUGUACACACCGCCCGUC